Molecule: ribosomal RNA, 440 nt
Filed under: uncultured bacterium
Lineage: Bacteria
Description: partial 16S ribosomal RNA
Rfam family: Bacterial small subunit ribosomal RNA
Source: RNAcentral
CCUACGGGAGGCAGCAGUGGGGGAUAUUGCACAAUGGGGGAAACCCUGAUGCAGCGACGCCGCGUGUGGGAAGACGGUCCUCUGGAUUGUAAACCACUGUCCCCAGGGACGAAGAUGACGUUACCUGGGGAGGAAGCUCCGGCUAACUACGUGCCAGCAGCGGCGGUAAUACGUAGGGAGCAAGCGUUGUCCGGAAUUACUGGGUGUAAGGGGAGCGUAGGCGGGAUGGCAAGUUGGGUGUUAAAUCUACCGGCUCAACUGGUAGUCGCACUCAAAACUGCUAGGCUGGAGUGAAGUAGAGGCAGGUGGAAUUCCUAGUGUAGCGGUGAAAUGCGUAGAUAUUAGGAGGAACACCAGUGGCGAAGGCGGCCUGCUGGGCUGUGACUGACGCUGAGGCUCGAAAGUGUGGGGAGCAAACAGGAUUAGAUACCCCAGUAGUC